AAAAAGGCUAGGCAGGUAUUCACAGGUCUCGGCUUUCUUCCUCUUCCCACCUUUCUUUUGUUUGCAGCUUCCCUCACUGAAAGAGGAACUUUAGGUUCAGGACCUCGAGAAAACACACACACACCCGGACACUCCGGACAGCCUGUGAGGAAUCAUUUCAAGAGUUCAUCUUAUGUUUUAGGACACAGCAGCUGCAUCAUUCUUUGCUUCUUAUUCCCUCGCCCAUCAUGAGCACACCUUCCCCCGUUCUCCUACCGAAAGGCUUCGACUACAGGUCGCCUACCUGUGGAGUGUAUCAAUGCAACAGCCAUGGGACCUGUGCGCCCCCCCCGGACGACAGCGUCGACCUGGUGUGCAACUGCAACCUGGGAUACGCGGGCCAGUUCUGCGAGGACACGGUCAACGGGGCCCUGAGCGCACCUCUGACCCUGAGUGUGAUCGUCGUGAUCGUGGGGCUGCUGAUCCUGGCUUUCAUCGUUGCAAAGUUGAGACAGAGACAGAAGAAGGAGCAAAGGAGACGUGUGGCAACCAAACAGGGCUACAACAUUGCUGUAUAAUGUGGAUAAAUAUAGCUGAUAUAUAAG
This 584-nucleotide long non-coding RNA is filed under the name Salarias fasciatus (jewelled blenny). RNAcentral's name for it is "lncRNA (ENSSFAG00005024417.1)". Lineage: Eukaryota; Metazoa; Chordata; Actinopteri; Blenniiformes; Blenniidae. The record is from RNAcentral.